This 213-nucleotide ribosomal RNA is filed under the name uncultured bacterium. Its description in RNAcentral is "partial 16S ribosomal RNA". It matches the Rfam family "Bacterial small subunit ribosomal RNA", at positions 1288 to 1500 of the family's 1533-position model. The record is from RNAcentral.
UCAGUUCGGACUGCAGGCUGCAACUCGCCUGCACGAAGUUGGAAUUGCUAGUAAUCGUGGAUCAGCAUGCCACGGUGAAUACGUUCCCGGGUCUUGUACACACCGCCCGUCACACCAUGGGAGCCGGUAAUACCCGAAGUCAGUAGUCUAACCGCAAGGAGGACGCUGCCGAAGGUAGGAUUGGCGACUGGGGUGAAGUCGUAACAAGGUAGC